UAGCAGGUUAAAGUCCUGUCCGGGGAGUUGUCCGUACGCCCCGGUAGUAUGAGGAAGCGGCGUUGUAGAGAUACAGGGUCGUGAGUUUCCCCCCAACAAUAAAGCAGGCCGUAACGCAA
Molecule: non-coding RNA, 119 nt
Filed under: Candidatus Electrothrix marina
Lineage: Bacteria; Pseudomonadati; Thermodesulfobacteriota; Desulfobulbia; Desulfobulbales; Desulfobulbaceae
Source: RNAcentral